Molecule: ribosomal RNA, 220 nt
Filed under: uncultured bacterium
Lineage: Bacteria
Description: partial 16S ribosomal RNA
Rfam family: Bacterial small subunit ribosomal RNA
Source: RNAcentral
UAAUGUAUGGGGAUCUGCCUGAUGGCGGGGGAUAACUACUGGAAACGGCAGCUAAUACCGCAUAAUGUCUGCGGACCAAAGCGGGGGACCUCCGGGCCUCGCGCCAUCAGAUGAACCCAUAUGGGAUUAGCUAGUAGGUGAGGUAACGGCUUACCUAGGCGACGAUCCCUAGCUGGUCUGAGAGGAUGAUCAGCCACACUGGGACUGAGACACGGCCCAG